This 1855-nucleotide long non-coding RNA is filed under the name Volvox carteri. RNAcentral's name for it is "long non-coding RNA (VCAR_LNC004364)". The record is from RNAcentral. Lineage: Eukaryota; Viridiplantae; Chlorophyta; Chlorophyceae; Chlamydomonadales; Volvocaceae.
UUUGUAUGUCAUCCCCUUCGGGGAAAGGGGGCUUCGCCUUCUCGUGGCAGAGCUACGCUAAGACUAGUCGUAAAGUACCCUUCCCUUCGGCAUACUAGACCGAAUAGAGGGGGGUGCGCUCGAGCUAAAAAAGGCCAUGGACUCCUUUGCUAGGGAAACUAGGUUUAUAGUAGCUUAAGUUCCAUUUAUUGAGAAUAUAUACUUCGUUAACACAAGAUUUUAAACGAGAUUAGCAGGAACCUACUAAACCAUACUUUCCCGCAGGGGAACUACAUCAUAGCUACUACAUUUAACCUACACGACUCCUCACGGGGCUCCCAAAAAAACAUUUUGUUAAACUUGGGCUUCGUUGCAAAGCUCGUUAGGCCUCCGGCCUUAGUGUAACACUACGCGCGUGUAAAGCUACUUACAAAUGCGUUGUAAUUAAACAACGGCCCUUGGGCGUGCCUCGGGCUUUGUAUAACCCCGAAGGGGUAAGACGCACAGCCAAAGGCCUUUAAAACUCCGGCCGUGACAACUGCGUUGUCACUAAACGGAAACCUAAGCAGUAACUCGGGUAGAGCCGUAAAGCAAAAAAAGUGCCACGUACUCGUUCUUGAGUUGUGAUCUCGCUAUAUUUUGUGACAAAUCCAACUAGACUUUGGCCGGAGAUCGACUACGUUAGCGACUUAAAAACAUCCUGAGUCGUUAGAAUUACUUUUUUUUUCAUUUCUCAAAAGGAACUCCGUCGUAGUUUGUCGCGUAACUCAGGGGCAAUGCCCCCUAAUAUAGUUUUUACUACGUUGUAGUAGGCCUCCGGNCAAAACUACGUAGCUGAAGGCCUAGUAUAUCGUCUACAUUGUAGUGGCCACCCCCUUUUUUUACGCCACAAGCGUUAGCGUGUCUUGCGACUUGAAGACAUAUUCUACUUGAAGACCUAUUUUAAAAGACUAAAACUAUGUUAGUUCAAGGAAAUUUGUACUGUGUAANACACAAGAAUACUAUUUGCAAACUCACAAACUUUGUACUUUAGCAAAGCAGCUCACAAAGCAAAGCAUGAAAACUUGAACGAUCAUCCGGCUGUAAGCCGGAUAAAUUGGCAAAGCCAAUCUUAACGAAGUGGCCCUUUAUUUUUAUGGCACGGUGUCGAACUCCUUAAUUUAGUCUUCAUAUUGACAGAUUUUGUGAAGUUGCUACAAAUCUUGAAUGACCACACAGCGCGAAGGCUUUGGGCUUCGCGCUGUGUGGUCAUUCGCGAAGUGUCCCUAUAAUAUUUAGCUUCAGGCGCUUAACUUAGUUGACGUUGGCGCUACAGGUCUUCUUUCUCGGUUUGACUAAGUUAACGAAGCCGCUGUCACAACCAGGGGCGAAGCCCUUUCCUUGUAAAGCGUCGUCGCUCGUUGUGAAGUGGUGUGCAUGCAAAACCACACCGGCAUGUCGAACGCAUCCUCGUUGGUACAACUUGUGCCUUCGUUGUGUUCCAUCCCCUUUAGUUCUUCUUCUUCCCCUUUAGUUCCCCAAAGGGGAAGAACUAAAGGGGAACCCCUUCGUCUUCCCCUUCGGGGAACACUAAAGUGUUCUUCUUCUUCCCCUAAAGGGGAACUAAAGUUCCCCUAAAGGGGAUGAACUAAAGGGGAACCCCUUUAGUUCUUCCCCUUUGGGGAACUAAAGGGGUUCCCCUUUAGGGGAAGAACUCCCNUACGGUGUGUUCCCCUUCUUCCCCUAAAGGGGACGGAGUCCCCUAAAGGGGAAGAAAAAGAGACUUUGGUUCCCCUUUGGUUCCCCUUUGGUUCCCCUUUGGUUCCCCUUUGGGGUUCCCCCCUUUGGUUCCCCUUUGGUUCCCCUUUGGUUCCCCUUUGGUUCUUCCCCUUUGGGG